GAUGAACGCUGGCGGCGUGCCUAAUACAUGCAAGUCGAGCGAACAGAUGAGGAGCUUGCUCCUCUGACGUUAGCGGCGGACGGGUGAGUAACACGUGGAUAACCUACCUAUAAGACUGGGAUAACUUCGGGAAACCGGAGCUAAUACCGGAUAAUAUAUUGAACCGCAUGGUUCAAUAGUGAAAGACGGUUUUGCUGUCACUUAUAGAUGGAUCCGCGCCGCAUUAGCUAGUUGGUAAGGUAACGGCUUACCAAGGCAACGAUGCGUAGCCGACCUGAGAGGGUGAUCGGCCACACUGGAACUGAGAAACGGUACAGACUCCUACGGGGGGCAGCGGUAGGGAAUCUUCCGCGAUGGGGGAAAGCCUGACGGAGCAACGCCGCGUGAGUGAUGAAGGUCUUCGGAUCGUAAAACUCUGUUAUUAGGGAAGAACAAAUGUGUAAGUAACUAUGCACGUCUUGACGGUACCUAAUCAGAAAGCCACGGCUAACUACGUG
Molecule: ribosomal RNA, 497 nt
Filed under: uncultured bacterium
Lineage: Bacteria
Description: partial 16S ribosomal RNA
Rfam family: Bacterial small subunit ribosomal RNA
Source: RNAcentral